ACGGCAUGGCAGCAGCGAGCGACGACCUUAACGGUGAGCGGGCCACGGCCCACGGGUACUAAUCGCUCUGCUUCUUUUUCUUCAGGUUGGGGGUCGAGGGAGUGGCAGCAACCUGCAAAAGAAGAGCUCUCGAUUCGAGUCAGAGUCACCGGGGAUCCGAAACCGUUGGCGUCCAACAGACGGAGUACUCGAUAUGUUGCGUCAAACUAUGAUGGAAGCGAUGAUGAAUCUUGCAUUCGAGUCUACAACAAGAGGAAGAUGAAGGACAUAGCAGCGAAGCUUGUAUCGAUCGGGAUCGUGAAGUCGCCCAUAACUCAUCCGUUGAAGGUACCACAUGCAGAGGAGUAUCUUCCUUCGAAUCUUGGAGAGGUUGGGUGGACAUUUUCUCUAUUUUACUAUUAGAUUGAAUGCACUCAACCAUAACGGUUUCUUCCCAUAAAAAAAUGCAAUGCUGCCAUGCGCAUGCUCGUAUAAAGUAGUGUUGCCGACUCCAUUGAUAAGUAUUUAAAAAUAGAGAAAAGCUCGGUAUUAUAAUGCCUUGAACAUUUAUGUAGGGGUUUCAUUUCAUAUUUUGGUGAUGAGUAUAGUAGUUGUCCUAGUAUUGACGAUCUUAGAUGUCUUUUAGCAAAGGGGGAGAGAGAGUUUCUUAGUAUAUAAAUUGCAUGUAUUAAAAGUGAGGGAACUAUCCCGUUGGAUGGAAAAGACAAAUUACUAGGGGUGACAUUAGAUCUA
Long non-coding RNA from Zea mays, 732 nucleotides. RefSeq lists it as uncharacterized. The transcript has 2 exons. NCBI's taxonomy places the organism in Eukaryota, Viridiplantae, Streptophyta, Magnoliopsida, Poales, Poaceae. The record is from RefSeq and is a predicted model, not a curated record.